Molecule: ribosomal RNA, 536 nt
Filed under: uncultured bacterium
Lineage: Bacteria
Description: bacterial SSU rRNA
Rfam family: Archaeal small subunit ribosomal RNA
Source: RNAcentral
CGGAUAAGGAACGAAGGCUAGGGUAGCAAACCGGAUUAGAUACCCGGGUAGUCCUAGCUGUAAACAUUGCCCAUUUGAUGUUGCUUUCCCGUUGAGGGAAGGCAGUGUCGGAGCGAAGGUGUUAAAUGGGCCGCUUGGGAAGUAUGGUCGCAAGACUGAAACUUAAAGGAAUUGGCGGGGGAGCACCGCAACGGGAGGAAUGUGCGGUUUAAUUGGAUUCAACGCCGGAAAACUCACCGGGAACGACCUGUGCAUGAGAGUCAACUUGACGAGCUUACUCGAUAGCAGGAGAGGUGGUGCAUGGCCGUCGUCAGCUCGUACCGUAGGGCGUUCACUUAAGUGUGAUAACGAGCGAGACCCACAUCUUUAAUUGCAAAUGUAUAUGGGAAUAUGCAUGCACUUUAGAGAAACCGCCAGCGCUAAGCUGGAGGAAGGAGUGGUCGACGGCAGGUCAGUACGCCCCGAAUUUCCCGGGCUACACGCGCAUUACAAAGAACGGGACAAUACGUUGCAACAUCGAAAGAGGGAGCCAAUCG